UACGUAGGUGGCAAGCGUUGUCCGGAUUUACUGGGCGUAAAGGGCGCGUAGGCGGCCUCUGCAAGUCGACUGUGAAAUCUCCGGGCUUAACCCGGAAAGGUCAGCCGAUACUGCAGGGCUAGAGUGCAGAAGGGGCAACUGGAAUUCUCGGUGUAGCGGUGAAAUGCGUAGAUAUCGAGAGGAACACCUGCGGCGAAGGCGGGUUGCUGGGCUGACACU
This 219-nucleotide ribosomal RNA is filed under the name uncultured bacterium. RNAcentral describes it as "partial 16S ribosomal RNA". It matches the Rfam family "Bacterial small subunit ribosomal RNA", at positions 524 to 741 of the family's 1533-position model. The record is from RNAcentral.